Molecule: ribosomal RNA, 611 nt
Filed under: Myxarium subhyalinum
Lineage: Eukaryota; Fungi; Basidiomycota; Agaricomycetes; Auriculariales; Hyaloriaceae
Description: eukaryotic LSU rRNA
Rfam family: Eukaryotic large subunit ribosomal RNA
Source: RNAcentral
GCGGAGGAAAAGAAACUAACAAGGAYUCCCCUAGUAACGGCGAGUGAAGAGGGAAAAGCUCAAAUUUAAAAUCUGGCGGUCUUCGAUCGUCCGAGUUGUAGUUUAGAGAGGUGUUUUCCGCGUCGGACCACACACAAGUCCUUUGGAAUAAGGCUUCAUAGAGGGUGAGAAUCCCGUUCAUGGUGUGGACUACCGAGGCUAUGUGAUGCACCCUCAAAGAGUCGAGUUGUUUGGGAAUGCAGCUCAAAAUGGGUGGUAAAUUCCAUCUAAAGCUAAAUAUUGGGGAGAGACCGAUAGCGCACAAGUACCGUGAGGGAAAGAUGAAAAGCACUUUGGAAAGAGAGUUAAACAGUACGUGAAAUUGCUGAAAGGGAAACGCUUGAAGUCAGUCGCGUCCGCUUGGACUCAGCCGUGGUUCUCCACGGUGUACUUCCAUGCGGAUGGGCCAACAUCAAUUUUGUUCGCCGUACAAAGGCGUUGGGAAUGUGGCACUCUUCGGGGUGUGUUAUAGCCCUUCGUUGUAUGCGGUGGAUGGGAUUGAGGAACGCAGCGCGCCGUAAGGCUGGGAUUUAUCCACACACGCGCUUCGGAUGUKGGSGUAAUGGCUUUAA